This 125-nucleotide small RNA is filed under the name Marmota monax (woodchuck). The record is from RNAcentral. Lineage: Eukaryota; Metazoa; Chordata; Mammalia; Rodentia; Sciuridae.
GCUGGGCACGGUGGUGCAUGCCUGUAAUCCCCGUGGCUCGGGAGGCUGAGGCAGGAGUAUCUUAAGUUCAAAGCCAACCUCAGCAAAAGCAAGGUGCUAAGCAACUCGGUGAGACCCUGUCUCUA